CAUGAAGUUGGAAUUGCUAGUAAUCGCGAAUCAGAAUGUCGCGGUGAAUACGUUCCCGGGCCUCGUACACACCGCCCGUCACACCAUGAGAGUCGAUAACACCCGAAGCCUGUGAGCUAACCUUUUAGGAGGCAGCAGUCGAAGGUGGGGUUGAUGAUUGGGGUGAAGUCGUAACAAGGUAUC
RNAcentral lists this ribosomal RNA (183 nucleotides) under uncultured bacterium. RNAcentral's name for it is "partial 16S ribosomal RNA". It matches the Rfam family "Bacterial small subunit ribosomal RNA", at positions 1319 to 1500 of the family's 1533-position model. The record is from RNAcentral.